CCGAGCUCGCGCCCACCCGGGCCGACCUCCCCCCCGUGUGUAUUCUUACCCUGUUGCUUUGGCGAGCCGCCCCCCUGAGGGGCCUUGCACGCUCGUCGGAGGCCCUCAAAACCCUGUUCGUCAGUGUCGUCUGAGCGUGAUAUAAUAGUUA
RNAcentral lists this unclassified non-coding RNA (151 nucleotides) under soil metagenome. RNAcentral's name for it is "partial internal transcribed spacer 1". The record is from RNAcentral.